RNAcentral lists this ribosomal RNA (440 nucleotides) under uncultured bacterium. RNAcentral describes it as "partial 16S ribosomal RNA". It matches the Rfam family "Bacterial small subunit ribosomal RNA", at positions 338 to 795 of the family's 1533-position model. The record is from RNAcentral.
CCUACGGGUGGCAGCAGUGGGGGAUAUUGCACAAUGGGGGGAACCCUGAUGCAGCGACGCCGCGUGGGUGAAGAAGCGCCUCGGCGCGUAAAGCCCUGUCAGCAGGGAAGAAAAUGACGGUACCUGAAGAAGAAGCGCCGGCUAACUACGUGCCAGCAGCCGCGGUAAUACGUAGGGGGCAAGCGUUAUCCGGAUUUAAUGGGUGUAAAGGGGGCGCAGACGGCGAUGCAAGCCAGGAGUGAAAGCCCGGGGGCCAACCCCGGGACUGCUCUUGGAACUGCGUGGCUGGAGUGCAGGAGGGGCAGGCGGAAUUCCUGGUGUAGCGGUGAAAUGCGUAGAUAUCAGGAGGAACACCGGUGGCGAAGGCGGCCUGCUGGACUGCAACUGACGUUGAGGCCCGAAAGCGUGGGGAGCAAACAGGAUUAGAUACCCCAGUAGUC